AUUGGUGACUUUAACGAGAUUCUUAUCUCGUCUGAAAAGGAUGGGGGUGCCCCAAGGCAACAGUCACGCAUGCAAGCUUUUCAGGAUGCAUUGUCAGAUUGCUCUCUUGAGGAUAUGGGAUAUGUUGGUGACAAAUAUACCUGGUUCCGUGGUGGCCUUAGAGAGAGAUUGGACAGAGAUGUAACAUGUGCGAGGUGGAUGCUUAUUCAUCCAUUUGCUGGUCUGAGUAACCUUGAGAUGGGCAAGUCUGAUCAUAGACCGAUCUGCCUAGAUACUAAUUAUCUAGUAGGAGUUGCAGAGAAUAAACCUACUUAUGGGAGAAAAUUCGAAGCUCGUUGGUUGUCUGAGGAGACAGUAGAAGAGAUAGUAAAAACUGCAUGGCAAAAAGCUUCGCUGCUCGGUCUACCUACCCAGACGACCGUGAAGUUGGCUGCAGUACAUCAAGAGCUGCAUACUUGGGACAGACAUGUUUUGAAAGAACCCAGGGCCCGGCUUCGCAAGGCACAGCAUGAGCUAGAUGAUCUAAUGCGAAGCCCGCCGACUGUUGAAGUGCGGAUGAAGCAGAAAGAGCUUGCAUUAUUCAUUGAAAACCUACUUGAACAAGAUGAAAUUUAUUGGGCCCAAAGAGGUAAAGUUAGCUGGCUGAGACGUGGCGACCGAAUACAACAUAUUUCCAUCAAUUUGCAUCUACUAGGAGAAGGCGGAAUCUAA
Molecule: ribosomal RNA, 711 nt
Filed under: Triticum aestivum (bread wheat)
Lineage: Eukaryota; Viridiplantae; Streptophyta; Magnoliopsida; Poales; Poaceae
Description: partial small subunit ribosomal RNA
Source: RNAcentral